AAGUCGUAACAAGGUUUCCGUAGGUGAACCUGCGGAAGGAUCAUUAACACGUAUCCAAACGUUAAAACCCCUGUGAACUUGUCCCUCUCCCUUUGCAGAAGGAACUUGGAGCAUGAUUGAUUUAUAUGAAAGAGACUGGAAAAAUCUUGUCACCGAGAUGGAGUACGUCAUGUCAAUCUGCGACAGUAGCCAGUAAGUCUAACGAUUUAUGUGGUGUCACACAACUAGAUUUCUGCAAAGGCUUUAGCUCUCUUUCUGGGUUUGUAUCUUUCAUCAGCGAUGAUUGAGGGCGUUUUCAUUAUUAUUAAACUAUUUCACCCCUUUUCCCACCAGUUGAUUUUAUUUGUUAAUCUGUAUGAAAAUACUGAUUACAAGUUCUUAAUUGAACACCAUUACAACUCUUAGCAAUGGAUGUCUAGGUUCUC
This 425-nucleotide unclassified non-coding RNA is filed under the name fungal sp. RNAcentral's name for it is "partial internal transcribed spacer region". The stretch from base 1 to 46 matches the Rfam family "Eukaryotic small subunit ribosomal RNA", at positions 1786 to 1831 of the family's 1831-position model. The record is from RNAcentral. Lineage: Eukaryota; Fungi.